Molecule: long non-coding RNA, 215 nt
Filed under: Elaeis guineensis (African oil palm)
Lineage: Eukaryota; Viridiplantae; Streptophyta; Magnoliopsida; Arecales; Arecaceae
Description: long non-coding RNA (EGUI_LNC002270)
Source: RNAcentral
GCACACAACGACCUAUGCUCGAUAAACAUUGUCGUCCUUGGUAACAACGUAUCAUUUGGUCGCGAACAGGUUUAAGGACUAAGCGACAAAUCCUCCUUUAUCGAGUCUAAAUAGUCCUAAGGACUUCACCACAACACAGGAGUUCAUUAGAAGAUGAAAUAUUUGUGAUGAAAAAAUAUCAAAAUAACUUUUAUUUAUUUAUAAUUCAUGUACUA